CAAUAGCGUAUAUUUAAGUUGUUGCAGUUAAAAAGCUCGUAGUUGGAUUUCGGGGCAGCCUGGCUGGUCCGCCGCAAGGCGAGUACUGGUCAGCCGCCCUUCCUCUCGAAAGCCCCGACUGCUCUUUACUGCAGUGGUCGGGUAGUUCGGGACGUUUACUUUGAAAAAAUUAGAGUGUUCAAGGCAGGCCGUCGCCUGAAUACAUUAGCAUGGAAUAAUGGAAGAGGACCUCGGUCCUAUUUUGUUGGUUUCCAGGGCCGAAGUAAUGAUUAAGAGGGACAGUUGGGGGCAUUCGUAUUUAAUUGUCAGAGGUGAAAUUCUCGGAUUUAUGAAAGACGGACAACUGCGAAAGCAUUUGCCAAGGAUGUUUUCAUUA
This 376-nucleotide ribosomal RNA is filed under the name uncultured eukaryote. RNAcentral's name for it is "partial 18S ribosomal RNA". It matches the Rfam family "Eukaryotic small subunit ribosomal RNA", at positions 592 to 975 of the family's 1831-position model. The record is from RNAcentral.